Long non-coding RNA from Salvia miltiorrhiza (redroot sage), 612 nucleotides. RefSeq lists it as uncharacterized. The transcript has 2 exons. NCBI's taxonomy places the organism in Eukaryota, Viridiplantae, Streptophyta, Magnoliopsida, Lamiales, Lamiaceae. The record is from RefSeq and is a predicted model, not a curated record.
CUGAACGAUUAUUACAGUUUUCAUAGUACAACCCGAAAGACUUUUUAUUUUAUUUUAUUUUAUUUUAUUCCAACCUACUUCUCUCCCUCACCUAACACACAUCCACCUACUCCCUCUCUCACCCACCUACCCUCAAAGCUCAUCCGUCAUAGUUAUACUUAGCAAAUUUGUUAUUCAUCACUUCACACCAAUCACCCAAUACACUUUCAUUUUUUUUUAAAGAGAGAGUUGAAGCUUCAUAACUUCAUCAGCCAACCAGUCAAACAUGAGCACAUAGAGUUCAAGUUCAGAGCACCACAAUCACCGAUUCAAGGUUGAGCAGCUGAUGGAAUGGAAUGAUGUUGAGCGGGUGUUCCUUUGAUCAUUUCAAGAAAUGUAACCUUGAGUAUACAUCUUCAUAUGUAUAUCUCACACGUUUUCCGCUGCAAAACACUUUGAUUAGGAUAGCUCUAUGUUAUGACGUUGUGAUACGUGUUAUUGGGUAACCCACCUUAAUCAGUUCUCAUUUAUGUGUAUGUUUUAUAAGUAUCCAAAUAAUCAUAUAUGAUCCUAGCAUUUUAUCUAUGAGUGACAUUUCCAUAUACUUUAAUGUUAAGUAAUUGUCCAUUUCCA